CCUACGGGGGGCAGCAGUGGGGAAUAUUGGACAAUGGGCGAAAGCCUGAUCCAGCCAUGCCGCGUGUGUGAAGAAGGCCUUCGGGUUGUAAAGCACUUUCAGUGGGGAAGAAAGCCUUGGGGCUAAUACCCUCGAGGAAGGACAUCACCCACAGAAGAAGCACCGGCUAACUCCGUGCCAGCAGCCGCGGUAAUACGGAGGGUGCGAGCGUUAAUCGGAAUUACUGGGCGUAAAGCGCGCGUAGGCGGUCUGAUAAGCCAGUUGUGAAAGCCCCGGGCUCAACCUGGGAACGGCAUCCGGAACUGUCAGGCUAGAGUGCAGGAGAGGAAGGUAGAAUUCCCGGUGUAGCGGUGAAAUGCGUAGAGAUCGGGAGGAAUACCAGUGGCGAAGGCGGUCUUCUGGACUGACACUGACGCUGAGGUGCGAAAGCGUGGGUAGCAAACAGGAUUAGAUACCCUUGUAGUC
Molecule: ribosomal RNA, 465 nt
Filed under: Vreelandella stevensii
Lineage: Bacteria; Pseudomonadati; Pseudomonadota; Gammaproteobacteria; Oceanospirillales; Halomonadaceae
Description: partial 16S ribosomal RNA
Rfam family: Bacterial small subunit ribosomal RNA
Source: RNAcentral